GGGGUCGAUCGGUUUCGACGGUGACCUGUUCGUUGCAGGGAAGCGUGCCGAGAAUGCAGGGGUCCGCUCGUUAACGUCCUCCUGCAGGAAUUAAGUGCUAAAUCUAAUCGCACUGAGUUUGCACUUGCUGCCUAAGCUUCGCGCUAGGAAUUAAACAGCGAGUUCCAGCUCCGUCCUCUCCUUUUCGCCUUCGGGAGGAAGCAGGGCGUCAUAAGAAGGCUUACCUGGGAUACUGAGGCUCAAGGUAUUUCAGGGAAAUCUGAUUGAGCCUAUGCCUGUUGUGCGUUGUCUGCGUCAGCGCAAGGGCAGAUAAAUAGCCAUAACGGCCAGCAGACUACGCACGUAGAAGACUGCAGGUACGGUUACCGGACCGGGGUUCAAUUCCCCGCGGCUCCACUU
Non-coding RNA from Scardovia wiggsiae F0424, 399 nucleotides. It matches the Rfam family "transfer-messenger RNA". Rfam says of the family: Bacterial tmRNA, also known as 10Sa RNA or SsrA, is named for its dual tRNA and mRNA-like properties. Its role is to liberate the mRNA from a stalled ribosome. Lineage: Bacteria; Bacillati; Actinomycetota; Actinomycetes; Bifidobacteriales; Bifidobacteriaceae. The record is from Rfam.